Carassius gibelio (silver crucian carp) is the source of this 843-nucleotide long non-coding RNA. RefSeq lists it as uncharacterized. The transcript is spliced from 5 exons. Lineage: Eukaryota; Metazoa; Chordata; Actinopteri; Cypriniformes; Cyprinidae. The record is from RefSeq and is a predicted model, not a curated record.
UAUUUGUUUGCUAGGAUAAUGGCGUGAACAGUCACUUAAACAUUAAAGUGGUAAACAUUUUUUAAAGUUGUGUAUCCUAGCUUAUGUGUAAAUGCAGACAUCAUCCUCGAUGUCUGCACGUGAGCUCAUUAAGCUUAAUUUCCACAACGACUUUGUCACACGUGCUUACAUCUAAAGCAUGAAAAAUACGUUUUACCAGGUCCAUUACUUCAAGUAGGCUAAGGUUUGGUGGCCUGAAGUUCUUCUUCUGCAAGAAACAAAAGUUACAACUGCAAUGGUCUUUCAGUAUGAAAACUUUACCUUAUUUACAGUGUCAGCACAGAUUUUAUACCUCCAAAUCUUAUGGUGGUAUAAUCUUUCGGGAACAAUUUCCAUCCGAGUCCUCAACAUGGGAAGUUUCAACAGCUUUUUGGACCCGAUACCUUGCUAGCCAUGAAGAUGGUGCCACCUCAACCUCAUUUUGCUCAAUGAAAUUGAGUAAUACAUAGCGAAGAUAAACCUGCAAAUGAAAUUUAGAUAAAUCUGUUUUCAAAAAAUAAUUGCACUGGAGAGCAAAUCACUAGAAGACAGAAGGAAGCUGUAGGAGGCAGAAACAGAUGGGACAAAUCUUCACAAGAGAGAGGCCAAGGGGUGAAGCUGUAGAAGGCAGAGACUCCAGGGCAAAGCUUCAGGACCAAGAAUCUCAGAGGUACAGGCGAAGCAGUUAGACUCACAGGGGACAAAGCUUAAAGAGGUGGAGACACAGGGGUGAAGCUGAAGGAUGUAGAGCCUCAGUGAGCAAAGAAAUUCUUCAGAAAGUAUGAAGAAUGGACACCACAAUUUUGAUCCCGUAGUUUUCCAAAA